Molecule: transfer RNA, 80 nt
Filed under: Klebsiella pneumoniae
Lineage: Bacteria; Pseudomonadati; Pseudomonadota; Gammaproteobacteria; Enterobacterales; Enterobacteriaceae
Also listed under: 4 other names
Description: tRNA-OTHER
Source: RNAcentral
AGAUAAGUAUUUUUAGGUAAGAAGUUGCGUCCUAACUCAUAAUCGCUUGGUCGUUGGUUCAAACCCAACAGGGGCCACCA